CAGUAGCCACGGUAAUACGAAGGGUGCAAGCGUUACUCGGAAUUACUGGGCGUAAAGCGUGCGUAGGUGGUGGUUUAAGUCCGUUGUGAAAGCCCUGGGCUCAACCUGGGAAUUGCAGUGGAUACUGGACCACUAGAGUGUGGUAGAGGAUAGUGGAAUUUCCGGUGUAGCAGUGAAAUGCGUAGAGAUCGGAAGGAACAUCUGUGGCGAAGGCGACUAUCUGGGCCAACACUGACACUGAGGCACGAAAGCGUGGGGAGCAAACAGGAUUAGAUACCCCCGUAGUCCCUGUCUCUUAUAC
Molecule: ribosomal RNA, 301 nt
Filed under: uncultured bacterium
Lineage: Bacteria
Description: partial 16S ribosomal RNA
Rfam family: Bacterial small subunit ribosomal RNA
Source: RNAcentral